Molecule: long non-coding RNA, 246 nt
Filed under: Rosa chinensis
Lineage: Eukaryota; Viridiplantae; Streptophyta; Magnoliopsida; Rosales; Rosaceae
Description: sRNA RchiOBHm_Chr4g0413101
Source: RNAcentral
GCUCUAUAGGGGGAGACAUGGUGUCAAGCUCUCCACCACCCCCGGUGCUGGCCUUCAUGGGGCACUAAGUGAGCUUCUCCCGGGCACCCGUGGGGGCCUAGGGGACCGGGCAUGUGUCGUCAAAAAGGGGCGGCAUAUGUUUCCACGAGUCAGGAAGUCUCGUGGACGGUAUUGGCCGAAAGGCCGAUAUUGCGGGUCGACGUCGGGGACGAGGUUCGGAUGAGGGCGAUCCUUAUGCCAUCGGCG